AGAGCUCUAGCUCUGGAGCGCGCCAUGGUCAAGGCCAAAGCCGAGGUUGGGAUGCCCGAUGCCUGUCGCGGGGAGACGGAGGAAGCAAAGUGCUGCUGCAUGGUGGAAAUACAGUAUUAUAUAAUGACAUGCUACUAUGCAUCUCUACCUAACUCCUCGUCUGGUGAUGCCAUAUUGAAAUCAGCCAUACUGAGAGUAUUUACACACUGGUGAAGUCAGUAAAUGCUACAAAUCAAGGCCUGAAUGUAACCUACAUGAGAAAGAGUUGCCUUGCUCACUGCCGUAUCCCAGUAUCCCAAGCACCUUGGAGAUGCUCUAUGAAUACUGAAUGAAUCUGAGAGGAAACUAGCCCAUGGGGGAAGGCUCUGGAAGCAAGCCCUCAUGGACCAAUGGAGAAAAAGGAAACUGAAUCUUGGGGAGAUUAAGCAACUCUUUCAAGGUCAACCAGUGAGUGGCAGAAUCAGGGUUUGAAGGAAACCUUUAUGAAUCUGAUGUCUGCCCCUUCUAAAUUAGGACUCUCAUCUAUCAGCCUGUGAGAAAAAAUACAGAAAGCAUCAUUCAGGCAACACAUGAACUCAAGACACUGA
Molecule: non-coding RNA, 587 nt
Filed under: Pongo abelii (Sumatran orangutan)
Lineage: Eukaryota; Metazoa; Chordata; Mammalia; Primates; Hominidae
Source: RNAcentral